Molecule: ribosomal RNA, 526 nt
Filed under: Clavispora lusitaniae
Lineage: Eukaryota; Fungi; Ascomycota; Pichiomycetes; Serinales; Metschnikowiaceae
Description: partial large subunit ribosomal RNA
Rfam family: Eukaryotic large subunit ribosomal RNA
Source: RNAcentral
CUGGGGAUAAAACCAACAGGGAUUGCCCCAGUAACGGCGAGUGAAGCGGCAAAAGCUCAAAUUUGAAAUCCUGCGGGAAUUGUAAUUUGAAGGUUUCGUGGUCUGAGUCGGCCGCGCCCAAGUCCAUUGGAACAUGGCGCCUGGGAGGGUGAGAGCCCCGUCUGGCGCACGCCGACUCUUUGCACCGCGGCUCCGACGAGUCGAGUUGUUUGGGAAUGCAGCUCUAAGUGGGUGGUAAAUUCCAUCUAAAGCUAAAUAUUGGCGGGAGACUGAUAGCGAACAAGUACAGUGAUGGAAAGAUGAAAAGCACUUUGAAAAGAGAGUGAAACAGCACGUGAAAUUGUUGAAAGGGAAGGGCUUGCAAGCAGACACGGUUUUACCGGGCCAGCGUCGAAAAGGGGGGAGGAACAAGAACUCGAGAAUGUGGCGCGCACCUUCGGGCGCGCGUGUUAUAGCUCGUGUUGACGCCUCCAUCCCUUUUCGAGGCCUGCGAUUCUAGGACGCUGGCGUAAUGGUUGCAAGCCGC